This 524-nucleotide ribosomal RNA is filed under the name uncultured bacterium. RNAcentral's name for it is "bacterial SSU rRNA". It matches the Rfam family "Bacterial small subunit ribosomal RNA", at positions 355 to 896 of the family's 1533-position model. The record is from RNAcentral.
UGGGGAAUCUUGCACAAUGGGCGAAACCCUGACGCAGCAACGCCGCGUGCGGGAUGAAGGCCUUCGGGUUGUAAACCGCUUUCAGCAGGGAAGAAGUUGACUGUACCUGCAGAAGAAGCCCCGGCUAACUACGUGCCAGCAGCCGCGGUAAUACGUAGGUGGCAAGCGUUGUCCGGAAUCAUUGGGCGUAAAGGGCGCGCAGGCGGUUCGGUAAGUCGGUCUUAAAAGUGCGGGGCUUAACCCCGUGAUGGGAUUGAAACUGCCGGACUGGAGUGUCGGAGAGGAAAGCAGAAUUCCUAGUGUAGCGGUGAAAUGCGUAGAUAUUAGGAGGAAUACCAGUGGCGAAAGCGGCUUUCUGGACGACAACUGACGCUGAGGCGCGAAAGCCAGGGGAGCAAACGGGAUUAGAUACCCCGGUAGUCCUGGCCGUAAACGAUGGAUACUAGGUGUAGGAGGUAUCGACCCCUUCUGUGCCGGAGUUAACGCAAUAAGUAUCCCGCCUGGGGAGUACGGCCGCAAGGUUG